CACUUCAAUGUGUUCACCAAGGUUCAGAGUCUGACAUGUAGGUCCUGAGCCAAAACCCAGAAUCUCCAUUUCACCCUUUUGCCUUGUGGGUGCAAACUCUUGAUAAUAGAUGUGAAAUGACCCUGAAUAAGACUUUCCUUGAUAUCAAUGGGAAUUGCUGUAUCUGUCCUGUGAUCCAGAUAUAUAGUGUUUUAUUUAAUCUC
Molecule: long non-coding RNA, 203 nt
Filed under: Bos taurus (domestic cattle)
Lineage: Eukaryota; Metazoa; Chordata; Mammalia; Artiodactyla; Bovidae
Description: long non-coding RNA NONBTAT017878
Source: RNAcentral